UGGGGAAUUUUGCACAAUGGGGGAAACCCUGAUGCAGCGACGCCGCGUGAUUUAGAAGGCCUUCGGGUUGUAAAAAUCUUUUUUAUGGGAUGAAAAUGACAGUACCAUAAGAAUAAGGUCCGGCUAAAUACGUGCCAGCAGCCGCGGUAAUACGUAUGGACCGAGCGUUGUCCGGAAUCACUGGGCGUAAAGGGUUCGCAGGCGGAAAUGCAAGUCAGGUGUAAAAGGCAGUAGCUUAACUACUGUAAGCAUUUGAAACUGCAUAUCUUGAGAAGAGUAGAGGUAAGUGGAAUUUUUAGUGUAGCGGUGAAAUGCGUAGAUAUUAAAAAGAAUACCGGUGGCGAAGGCGACUUACUGGGCUCAUUCUGACGCUGAGGAACGAAAGCGUGGGUAGCAAACAGG
This 402-nucleotide ribosomal RNA is filed under the name Bacteroidota bacterium. RNAcentral describes it as "Bacteroidetes bacterium partial 16S ribosomal RNA". It matches the Rfam family "Bacterial small subunit ribosomal RNA", at positions 355 to 776 of the family's 1533-position model. Lineage: Bacteria; Pseudomonadati; Bacteroidota. RNAcentral also lists the same sequence under 1 other name. The record is from RNAcentral.